Molecule: ribosomal RNA, 301 nt
Filed under: uncultured bacterium
Lineage: Bacteria
Description: partial 16S ribosomal RNA
Rfam family: Bacterial small subunit ribosomal RNA
Source: RNAcentral
CAGUCGCCGCGGUAAUACGAAGGGUGCAAGCGUUAAUCGGAAUUACUGGGCGUAAAGCGUGCGUAGGCGGUUUGUUAAGUCUGCUGUGAAAUCCCCGGGCUCAACCUGGGAAUGGCAGUGGAUACUGGCAAGCUAGAGUGUGUCAGAGGAUGGUGAAACUCCCGGUGUAGCGGUGAAAUGCGUAGAGAUCGGGAGGAACAUCAGUGGCGAAGGCGGCCAUCUGGGACAACACUGACGCUGAGGCACGAAAGCGUGGGGAGCAAACAGGAUUAGAUACCCCUGUAGUCCCUGUCUCUUAUAC